UCCUUUUACUUAGUUUUAAGCCACUUCAACAAGAGUGCUUUUACUUCUAAUGGAUUGGGGGCUGCGGUUGUCUUUACCAGGCACCCACUAAGGAUGCUCCUCAUAGGGAGUGGACUGCCAGAGAUCCUGGGAAAGAAUAGAAGGGGUGUCUUGGCCCAAGGAAGGGAGAGGAUGAGGCCAUUGCCCCCCUGAAGCCAUCUAAGCAUGGCUCUCUUCCAUACCACCUUGUGCUUUCAUAGUGUCAGAACUUACAAGUAAUUCAAGGUCAUGCCAGGAUAGGUGAACUACAUUUUCAGAGCUGCCAUGUGUCAAAAUGAAUUUCGUGUAAAGCAUAUAUACUUCUGAACAUUUUUUGUGACGCAGCAAUAUUAUCCAGGAGAGACUUUGACAUAUAUGGUACCUUACAGAAAACUUGCCAGCAUAGAAGACUUAAAACAGCACUUACUUGUCACUUAUUUUUCCAUGCCACAUUUACUUAAUCUAAAAGUGUG
Mauremys reevesii (Reeves's turtle) is the source of this 491-nucleotide long non-coding RNA. RefSeq lists it as uncharacterized. The transcript is spliced from 3 exons. NCBI's taxonomy places the organism in Eukaryota, Metazoa, Chordata, Testudines, Geoemydidae. The record is from RefSeq and is a predicted model, not a curated record.